AUGUCAAAGGUUCUUUGGUUGGUCAUUUUCCUCUCAAUCAAAACGAGCCCUAAACUCCCACCCUUCCAAAUACUGAGCAGCCAGUGGUGGAUUUCUCCUUUACACUCACACCAGUGAGAAGACAUGAGUCAACACCACAGACCUGGCAGGAUCUCACAUGACAUCCUAAAUCUGUAGUAAAGACAGCUGUCGGGUCAGGCUGUGGAAGACAUGAAGAAGAGGAGGAGGGCUGUGGUUUUCAGGCCUUACAAAUAAAAGACAAAAUCUGUCCAUUA
Molecule: long non-coding RNA, 275 nt
Filed under: Oreochromis niloticus (Nile tilapia)
Lineage: Eukaryota; Metazoa; Chordata; Actinopteri; Cichliformes; Cichlidae
Description: lncRNA (ENSONIG00000031072.1)
Source: RNAcentral